AUGGGAUCCGCCUCCCUCCUUCGCCGGAGACACGCCAAGCCAUCGCCGUCGUCCCGAUCCGCGCGGAGGAGCGCCGCCGAACACCUGCCUCUGCCUGCGUCCUCUGCUUCUUCCAGGAUGAGGCGCCCGCUCGCCCGCUCGUCCUCGAGCGUUGACCGUGCCCCCUUCUCCUCCUCGUUCGAUCGAGUCAAGACCCAAGCCCAGCCGCGCCAGGCUCCAGCUGGCCCGCGUCCGACCUCCCCAACCGGCCUCGCCUCGGCCUCCGUCCUCUUCAUUUUGGGCCGCGCCUCCAAGGCCCAGGGUGAGCCGCCCCCAACGCCCCCUCCUCUAUCUUUUUUCCUUCGCUGUUGGGCUUCCUCAGAUUCGGCCCGUGAAGUAUUUUUUUCAGCGCCUGCGAUUUUUCCUAUUAUUCCUGAGAUUGCCAGUUUUACAGAUUAG
This 438-nucleotide ribosomal RNA is filed under the name Triticum aestivum (bread wheat). RNAcentral describes it as "partial small subunit ribosomal RNA". The record is from RNAcentral. Lineage: Eukaryota; Viridiplantae; Streptophyta; Magnoliopsida; Poales; Poaceae.